AUCCAACUGACGAGCCCCAAAUAGGACGAAACUUGCGUUAUGGAU
This 45-nucleotide non-coding RNA is filed under the name Schistosoma margrebowiei. Lineage: Eukaryota; Metazoa; Platyhelminthes; Trematoda; Strigeidida; Schistosomatidae. The record is from RNAcentral.